CCUACGGGAGGCAGCAGUAGGGAAUCUUGCACAAUGGGGGAAACCCUGAUGCAGCGACGCCGCGUGAGUGAAGAAGUAAUUCGUUAUGUAAAGCUCUAUCAGCAGGGAAGAAAAUGACGGUACCUGACUAAGAAGCCCCUGCUAACUACGUGCCAGCAGCCGCGGUAAUACGUAGGGGGCAAGCGUUAUCCGGAUUUACUGGGUGUAAAGUGAGCGUAGACGGGAGUGCAAGUCUGGAGUGAAAGGCGGGGGCUCAACCCCCGGAGUGCACUGGAAACUGUACGGCUGGAGUGCAGGAGAGGUGAGUGGAAUUCCGAGUGUGGCGGUGAAAUGCGUAGAUAUUAGGAGGAACACCAGUGGCGAAGGCGGCUUACUGGACUGUAACUGACGUUGAGGCUCGAAAGCGUGGGGAGCAAACAGGAUUAGAUACCCUUGUAGUC
Molecule: ribosomal RNA, 440 nt
Filed under: uncultured bacterium
Lineage: Bacteria
Description: partial 16S ribosomal RNA
Rfam family: Bacterial small subunit ribosomal RNA
Source: RNAcentral